AACAAGGUGUCAACUGUUAUACCAGAUGUAAUUGGAGUUGUAAUUGCUCUUUAUUCUCAUUAAAAGUGUAUAUUAUCAAAGACAGAUAUGCCAGAUGUAAAAAUUUUGCAAAAAAUGACGGUAAAUAACGAUAUGGAUACAUGUACUUGAUACUUUGCUGCAAAUAAGUUUACAAGUACUCAAGACAUUUCAAUUCCUCCAUAAACAAUACAGUGAUCAGGAAAGAUAUAACUACAGUACUCUAUUAUUAAUUUAACGAGGAGAGGGGAACAAUUUCAUGGAAGCUAAUAAUGAAGAGUCUGAAGAGUUCCCCACAGAUUUUGAGAUUCAAUGUCUUAGUAAAUCCUGCAUCAACAUCAGCAUAUAAAAGCCCCUGAAACUACAGAGCAGCAUGACAGUGCCUUUAGAAGACUUCUUUGAAUUUACAUAGCUAAACAGGAUCCUUAAAUCAAGGACACAACUCUUGCUCCUUAGACUUAGUGAGAAAAAUCCAUUCAUCUAUCUAUUAAAAGCUGGAAACUCAGACUGUCUGCAGAACCUUAUUAAUUUUUCUAAUUGUCAAGUUAAACUUUGACAUUUGCCAUGAAUAUUAUUCAAAUGACACUCUUAUGGACAGGCAGAAUAUACAUUGAAGAACAUGUAUUUUUAUAAUUUCAAAAAUCACAUUGUACAAGUUUCUAAACAAUGUAUGAAUAAAAAGUAAAUUUUAUGAAUAAAUGAUAAUAAUAAUAUUAAUAAAAAAGUUUUAUCUU
Saccostrea echinata is the source of this 752-nucleotide long non-coding RNA. RefSeq lists it as uncharacterized. The record is from RefSeq and is a predicted model, not a curated record. The transcript is spliced from 2 exons. Lineage: Eukaryota; Metazoa; Mollusca; Bivalvia; Ostreida; Ostreidae.